GUGAAGACCAGCUUGCUGGUUGGAUCAGUGGCGAACGGGUGAGUAACACGUGAGCAACCUGCCCUUCACUCUGGGAUAAGCCUUGGAAACGGGGUCUAAUACCGGAUAUGACGUCCCUACGCAUGUGGGGGUGUGGAAAGAUUUAUCGGUGGGGGAUGGGCUCGCGGCCUAUCAGCUUGUUGGUGGGGUAAUGGCCUACCAAGGCGACGACGGGUAGCCGGCCUGAGAGGGCGACCGGCCACACUGGGACUGAGACACGGCCCAGACUCCUACGGGAGGCAGCAGUGGGGAAUAUUGCACAAUGGGCGCAAGCCUGAUGCAGCGACGCCGCGUGAGGGAUGACGGCCUUCGGGUUGUAAACCUCUUUCAGCAGGGAAGAAGCGCAAGUGACGGUACCUGCAGAAGAAGCGCCGGCUAACUACGUGCCAGCAGCCGCGGUGAUACGUAGGGCGCAAGCGUUGUCCGGAAUUAUUGGGCGUAAAGAGCUCGUAGGCGGUCAGUCGCGUCUGCUGUGAAAACUCGAGGCUCAACCUCGGGCUUGCAGUGGGUACGGGCUGACUAGAGUGCGGUAGGGGUGACUGGAAUUCCUGGUGUAGCGGUGGAAUGCGCAGAUAUCAGGAGGAACACCGAUGGCGAAGGCAGGUCACUGGGCCGCAACUGACGCUGAGGAGCGAAAGCAUGGGGAGCGAACAGGAUUAGAUACCCUGGUAGUCCAUGCCGUAAACGUUGGGCACUAGGUGUGGGGUCCAUUCCACGGAUUCCGUGCCGCAGCUAACGCAUUAAGUGCCCCGCCUGGGGAGUACGGCCGCAAGGCUAAAACUCAAAGAAAUUGACGGGGGC
Molecule: ribosomal RNA, 840 nt
Filed under: Cellulomonas persica
Lineage: Bacteria; Bacillati; Actinomycetota; Actinomycetes; Micrococcales; Cellulomonadaceae
Description: bacterial SSU rRNA
Rfam family: Bacterial small subunit ribosomal RNA
Source: RNAcentral